GGGGCGUUGGCGCAGUUGGUAGCGCGAUUGCUUUGCAAGCAAUAGGCCACGGGUUCGAACCCCGUACGCUCCACCA
Molecule: transfer RNA, 76 nt
Filed under: Luteococcus sanguinis
Lineage: Bacteria; Bacillati; Actinomycetota; Actinomycetes; Propionibacteriales; Propionibacteriaceae
Also listed under: 1 other name
Description: tRNA-Ala
Rfam family: tRNA
About the family: Transfer RNA (tRNA) molecules are approximately 80 nucleotides in length. Their secondary structure includes four short double-helical elements and three loops (D, anti-codon, and T loops).
Source: RNAcentral